AGAUACCCUGUUACUUAUAGUUAAAAUUUUUUGGAAUAGUAAUAAUAAUGAAAUUUAACGGAUUUGGCGGCAAGAUAGCUAUUUAGAGGAACCUGCCCUGUAAACGAUAAGCCACGAGAUACUCUACUUUUGUUUGUAAUCAGUUUGUAUACCGCUGUUGUCAGUCAGUUUUCUUAGAAAACUUUCUAUCAUGAUAAAAUCAAGUACUUCAAGUAAAGGUGCAGCUUAUAUAGAAGAUAGAGGUGGGUUACAUUUAAAAUGAUUAAAACAGAUAAAGAUACUGAAAAUUCUUUUGAAGGUGGAUUUAAAUGUAAAGUUUAUGUAAACU
This 328-nucleotide ribosomal RNA is filed under the name Trevathana doni. Its description in RNAcentral is "partial 12S ribosomal RNA". Lineage: Eukaryota; Metazoa; Arthropoda; Thecostraca; Balanomorpha; Pyrgomatidae. The record is from RNAcentral.